AUCUCGUGGUGAGCGCAUCUACGAAGUAACUUCUUGAAUCUUUCCCAUGCCUCGUAUAAGGAUUCAUCAUCCAAUUGUUGAAAAGUGGUGAUAUCAUCCUGCAACU
Molecule: small nucleolar RNA, 106 nt
Filed under: Gossypium barbadense (sea-island cotton)
Lineage: Eukaryota; Viridiplantae; Streptophyta; Magnoliopsida; Malvales; Malvaceae
Also listed under: 2 other names
Description: Plant small nucleolar RNA R71
Rfam family: Plant small nucleolar RNA R71
About the family: R71 is a member of the C/D box family of snoRNAs containing the C (UGAUGA) and D (CUGA) box motifs. Multiple nearly identical copies of this snoRNA have been identified in Arabidopsis, and it is thought to function as a 2'-O-ribose methylation guide for 18S ribosomal RNA.
Source: Rfam by way of RNAcentral